UACGGGGGGAGCAAGCGUUGUUCGGAUUUACUGGGCGUAAAGGGCGCGUAGGCGGCCACCGCAAGUCGACUGUGAAAUCUCCGGGCUUAACCCGGAAAGGUCAGCCGAAACUGCGGGGCUAGAGUGCAGAAGGGGCAACUGGGAUUCUCGGUGUAGCGGUGAAAUGCGUAGAUAUCGAGAGGAACACCUGCGGCGAAGGCGGGUUGCUGGGCUGACACUGACGCUGAAGCGCGAAAGCGUGGGGAGCGAACAGG
RNAcentral lists this ribosomal RNA (254 nucleotides) under uncultured bacterium. RNAcentral's name for it is "partial 16S ribosomal RNA". It matches the Rfam family "Bacterial small subunit ribosomal RNA", at positions 524 to 776 of the family's 1533-position model. The record is from RNAcentral.